RNAcentral lists this ribosomal RNA (776 nucleotides) under Kocuria sp. 16. Its description in RNAcentral is "bacterial SSU rRNA". It matches the Rfam family "Bacterial small subunit ribosomal RNA", at positions 91 to 877 of the family's 1533-position model. RNAcentral also lists the same sequence under 3 other names. Lineage: Bacteria; Bacillati; Actinomycetota; Actinomycetes; Micrococcales; Micrococcaceae. The record is from RNAcentral.
AUGAGUGGCGAACGGGUGAGUAAUACGUGAGUAACCUGCCCUUGACUCUGGGAUAAGCCCGGGAAACUGGGUCUAAUACUGGAUGCUACAUGUCACCGCAUGGUGGUGUGUGGAAAGGGUUUACUGGUCUUGGAUGGGCUCACGGCCUAUCAGCUUGUUGGUGAGGUAAUGGCUCACCAAGGCGACGACGGGUAGCCGGCCUGAGAGGGUGACCGGCCACACUGGGACUGAGACACGGCCCAGACUCCUACGGGAGGCAGCAGUGGGGAAUAUUGCACAAUGGGCGAAAGCCUGAUGCAGCGACGCCGCGUGAGGGAUGACGGCCUUCGGGUUGUAAACCUCUUUCAGCAGGGAAGAAGCCACAAGUGACGGUACCUGCAGAAGAAGCGCCGGCUAACUACGUGCCAGCAGCCGCGGUAAUACGUAGGGCGCAAGCGUUGUCCGGAAUUAUUGGGCGUAAAGAGCUCGUAGGCGGUUUGUCGCGUCUGCUGUGAAAGCCCGGGGCUUAACCCCGGGUGUGCAGUGGGUACGGGCAGACUAGAGUGCAGUAGGGGAGACUGGAAUUCCUGGUGUAGCGGUGGAAUGCGCAGAUAUCAGGAGGAACACCGAUGGCGAAGGCAGGUCUCUGGGCUGUUACUGACGCUGAGGAGCGAAAGCAUGGGGAGCGAACAGGAUUAGAUACCCUGGUAGUCCAUGCCGUAAACGUUGGGCACUAGGUGUGGGGGACAUUCCACGUUUUCCGCGCCGUAGCUAACGCAUUAAGUGCCCCGCCUGGG